RNAcentral lists this ribosomal RNA (431 nucleotides) under uncultured bacterium. Its description in RNAcentral is "partial 16S ribosomal RNA". It matches the Rfam family "Bacterial small subunit ribosomal RNA", at positions 29 to 507 of the family's 1533-position model. The record is from RNAcentral.
AACGAACGCUGGCGGCAGGCCUAACACAUGCAAGUCGAGCGCCCUUUCGGGGGAGCGGCGGCCGGGUGAGUAACGCGUGGGAAUAUGCCCUUCUCUACGGAAUAGCCUCGGGAAACUGAGAGUAAUACCGUAUACGCCCUGUGGGGGAAAGAUUUAUCGGGGAAGGAUUAGCCCGCGUUGGAUCAGGUAGUUGGUGGGGUAAUGGCCUACCAAGCCGACGAUCCAUAGCUGGUUUGAGAGGAUGAUCAGCCACACUGGGACUGAGACACGGCCCAGACUCCUACGGGAGGCAGCAGUGGGGAAUCUUAGACAAUGGGGGCAACCCUGAUCUAGCCAUGCCGCGUGAGUGAUGAAGGCCUUAGGGUUGUAAAGCUCUUUCAGCUGGGAAGAUAAUGACGGUACCAGCAGAAGAAGCCCCGGCUAACUCCGUG